GAUGAUAUUAAUAAGGUUAGCGCACCUGCUUUGGGAGCAGGGGGUCGUGGGUUCGAAUCCCGCUACCCCGACAA
RNAcentral lists this transfer RNA (74 nucleotides) under Phocaeicola vulgatus ATCC 8482. RNAcentral describes it as "Bacteroides vulgatus ATCC 8482 tRNA-Pro-TGG-3-1". The record is from RNAcentral. Lineage: Bacteria; Pseudomonadati; Bacteroidota; Bacteroidia; Bacteroidales; Bacteroidaceae.